RNAcentral lists this ribosomal RNA (483 nucleotides) under uncultured bacterium. RNAcentral's name for it is "partial 16S ribosomal RNA". It matches the Rfam family "Bacterial small subunit ribosomal RNA", at positions 899 to 1397 of the family's 1533-position model. The record is from RNAcentral.
ACUCAAAGGAAUAGACGGGGGCCCGCACAAGCAGCGGAGCGUGUGGUUUAAUUCGAUGCAACGCGAAGAACCUUACCUGGGCUUGAACGUGUCCUGACCGCCGGUGAAAGCCGGUUUCCCUUCGGGGCAGGGUGCGAGGUGCUGCACGGCUGUCGUCAGCUCGUGCCGUGAGGUGUUGGGUUAAGUCCCGCAACGAGCGCAACCCCUGUCGCUAGUUGUACUUUUCUAGCGAGACUGCCCGUAGCAAACGGGAGGAAGGCGGGGAUGACGUCAAGUCAGCGUGGCCCUUACGUCCAGGGCUACACACACGCUACAAUGGCCGGUACAACGGGUCGCGACACGGCGACGUGAAGCUAAUCCCUCAAAACCGGCCCCAGUUCAGAUUGCAGGCUGAAACCCGCCUGCAUGAAGUCGGAGUUGCUAGUAACCGUGGGUCAGCACACCGCGGUGAAUACGUUCCCGGGCCUUGUACACACCGCCCGU